RNAcentral lists this ribosomal RNA (243 nucleotides) under uncultured bacterium. RNAcentral describes it as "partial 16S ribosomal RNA". It matches the Rfam family "Bacterial small subunit ribosomal RNA", at positions 524 to 765 of the family's 1533-position model. The record is from RNAcentral.
UACGAAGGGGGGCUAGCGUUGUUCGGGAAUCACUGGGCGUAAAGGGCGCGUAGGCGGCUUUAUAAGUCGGGGGUGAAAGCCUGCGGCUCAACCACAGAAUUGCCUUCGAUACUGUAGAGCUUGAGACCGGAAGAGGUUAGUGGAACUGCGAGUGUAGAGGUGAAAUUCGUAGAUAUUCGCAAGAACACCAGUGGCGAAGGCGGCUGCUGGUCCGGUUCUGACGCUGAGGCGCGAAAGCGUGGG